Rhodamnia argentea is the source of this 415-nucleotide long non-coding RNA. RefSeq lists it as uncharacterized. The transcript has 3 exons. NCBI's taxonomy places the organism in Eukaryota, Viridiplantae, Streptophyta, Magnoliopsida, Myrtales, Myrtaceae. The record is from RefSeq and is a predicted model, not a curated record.
GCAAAAGAAAGAUAACAAACUUCUAAAGCUCAAUUGGAGAACGAUGAAGAGUGUGCUAAAGCUCAAUUGGAGGAAGAUAGAAAGCGUGCUCAGUUGGAGGAAGAUGAACUACUUGCCAAAGCUCUUCAAGAAAGUUUGAAUGUGGAAUCUCCUAUUGGACAUGGUGGAAACCUACCUUACCCAAUUUUCCCUUCUUCUGGCUUAAGAUGUUUCGGAAUAUGCGCAGGUUGCAACAGUAGGAUUGGUUUGGGGCGAUUCCUGAGUUGCAUGGGUGCUGUUCGGCAUCCAGAACGCUUUCGUUGUCAUGCAUGUGGUCUUCCAAUUACCAAGGCCGAGGCAUAAUCUUGCGUUCAUUAAAAGCUCUUGUCACAAAUCAAUGCUACUGGGAGCAUCAUCAUCCUAGAUGUAAUGUAUG